CUGUCUCUUUGACCUAAUAGUAACUUUUAAAGAACGACUGUAUAUCAUUUUUGGUGUCCUAAACACACCUUUAUCAGUAACUCCAUGUUCCUUUCCUUUUCCUUUCCAUUUCUUUUUCUUUCUUUCUUCUAUUAGGAUUCACUCUUUUUUUAAAAGCUUCCAUGUCUUUCUGUUAUUCCUGACACAAAGUGGUUUUGAUUCCCUGGGACUACCUCAGACAUUGAACAUGAAACCUGAAAAUUAUUCUUUUCCUUGUCUAGUCCAUCAGUUCCUGGACUUGAGAGGGCUGCUUUUACAUCAAGUUGGUAUCACCAGUUUUAUUAAUUUCCAUCAAUAAUUGAGUUUGUGUUAAUAGUUAGAGGUGAUAACAGGUGCCAGGAUGGUGUCUGCUCUAGAUGUAUAGAUGUAUAGAGACUUGAGGAGUGAGAUUAAUAUCCAGAGGUAGAAAAUUGUGGAAGUAUGGAAGACUGUAGGAUGACAUAGAUCAAGGGUUAAAAGGGAGAGUAUUCGUCUGAUGAUAUAGGCAUUGGUGAGGGAAUUUGCCAGAGAACACUGACGUCCAAAAAAGGCUAACAAUAUACAAAUCUAGGCAGAAUUGGUACGGUGAAAUUUGCCUAGGAAAGUUAAGAUGCUUGAACAUCCAUGUUUCAAAAAGGACCGACGGUCAUAUAUGCUGUGUAUGCAUAUAGAGCUGGAAAACUCUCAAUGCUCUGGACUUGUGAACUUGAGGAGCAUGUGCAUGAAUGGAGAUGAAUAAUGAGAAAGUGACAAUGCAAUAGGAAGUUGAUGGGUGCAUGCCUGAACGGAGGGAAUGUUUUCAGAAAUACAAAGGAUAGAAAUUUUUCAGUGACCUGUGUGGAAUGAAUUUGAAUAAAAUGAAUAAAUUAACAACUGGGCCUCUAGAAUGUAAGAUUCUGCUCCUAUCUAUUACUCAAGUUUUCAAAUGAGAUAUGUAAUAAAACACAGCACCUGUGGAUGUUGCUUUCAUUUACCAUAAAUUUCUCCUAAGGCAAUAUCUUCCUAUGUUGAGGGAAUUCAUUUAAGUGCUUAUUAAUUUUCUAAAACUUGGAUAUACCAAAAUGAUUAGUAAAUCAGAGAGGUCUGGGGUGAGGCUCAGUGGUACAUCAACUGCUAAACAUUCAAAAGGAUGUGGGUACAGGCCCAAAGUUGAGAAAAUAACAAACAAACAACAAGUCAAAGAAAUAUGAGGAUACACUUCAUUGGUAUGUGUAAGUAUUUAUGGAUUUAAUAAAGUUAAUCAAAAUUUCAAGAAAAGAUUUUCUUCAUCAAAUGUUUAUUUUACAUAAAAGGGAUAAAAUAAAGUGCAUGUAAUUAUACAUUUUAUUAUUUUUUGCUACAGACUGACCACAUGAUUGGUGAAGGGCACAAAACAAAGUGGUAUAUGAAGCACAACACAGGUUCCACAGAAUUAUUUGAUUCAUUAGGUGUAACAGUACAGUUGAUAUUGUCUUGGAGAUGAGAUUUUCCUGUGUUUCACACACUGGCCUUGACACCUGGAUUCAAUCAAAAGCCAUAUCACAUGAUUGUGGAUUCUAGCCAGGCUCCUUGGAGCUCUUUUUAAACAUAGGGGAGAAGCAAAAUCAUCCUCAUCAUCCAAUUAACCAGUUUAAUGACUCCAAUUUGGGAACUUUAAUUAAAGAAACAUUUAUAAGUUAUUUUUAAACAUUUUUCUCACACUUUUAUAGAAAUAUUUUGAUUUGUGGAUGUGAUUAUCAACCCAGACAUUUUGGGCCAAAACCUUCAAACCCAUUGUGGAAAACAUGUAUAUCAUGAGUGGGAUGUUUGCUUUCAUUCAAUAGUUGUAAAAUAGGUUUUCCAGAGAAGUUGUACUACAAACAUUACCUUAUUCUAGUGCCCAUGCUUCCUUCAUCCAUUUUGUUUUUCUGGGAAGAGAAUCUUUGAUUUUGAUAGUUGGCUUGCUAUGCUUAAAGUUAAGAUAUUAUAUAAACAUUUUACAUUUUAUCCAGCAUGCAUUUAAUUGUGUAACAUAAACAUAGAAGACAAAUUACCUGGCUAGAAACCUGUGAGUCUUGAGGUACUGAACUGAAAAUGAGAUAUACUCAACAAAACCUGAAUAUAACAAUACUACCCUCAUGUUUCUACUGAAUGAAAAUGGACCCGAGUCCCAGUGGUUGUCACUGAUAAAGACUAUUUUAGCUUUGGUUUCUAUGUAUGUAUGUAGCUUAUUGUUGAGUACAGCCACAUCAUUGAAAUGUACUAAAUCAAAAUUGGGAAUAUCAGUUAAUAAAUCUUGCAGUUAUGUUUCUUGUGGUAAGAAUACCUUUGUGGGUGCUAAAAGCAUGCACUGGUGAAAGGAUAGCAUCUUCAACAAAUGGUGCUAGAAAAACUGGAAAUCCAUAUGCAACAAAAUGAAAUUGAAUCCCUAUCUCUCACCAUGCACAAAAGUUAACUCAAAAUGGAUCAAGGAUCUAGGAAUUAAACCAGAGACUCUGCAUCUAAUAGAAUAAAAAGUAGGCCCUAAUCUCCAUCAUGUGGGGCUAGGCCCCAAUUUCCUUAAUAAGACACCUAUAGCACAAGAAUUAAAACCAAGAAUCAACAAAUGGGAUGAAUUCAAACUAAAAAGUUUUUUCUCAGCAAGAGAAAUAAUAUGUGAGGUGAAUAGGGAGCCUAUAUCCUGGGAACAAAUCUUUACCCCUCACACAUCAGAUAGAGCUCUAAUCUCUAGGGUUUAAAAAGAACUCAAAAAGCUAAACACCAAAAAAAACCCAAAUAACCCAAUCAACAAAUGGGCCAAGGACCUGAACAUCCAUUUCUCAGGAGAGGAUAUACAAUCAAUCAACAAAUUUAUGAAAAAAUGCUCAUCAUCUCUAGCAAUCAUAGAAAUGCAAACUAAAACUACUCUAAGAUACCAUCUCACUCCAGUAAGAAUGUCAGCCAUGAUUAAAACAAACAAUAACAAGUGCUGACAAGCAUGUGGGAAAAAAGGAACCCUCAUACACUGUUGGUGGGACUGCAAAUUGGUGCAGCCAAUUUGGAAAGCAGCAUGGAGAUUCCUUGGAAAGCUGCAAAUGGAACCACCAUUUGACCCAGCUAUUCCUCUUCUCAGACUAUACCCAAAGGAGUUAAAAACAGCAUACUACAGGGACACAGCCACAUCAGUAUUUAUAGCAGCACAAUUCACAAUAGCUAACUUGUGGAACCAACCUAGAUGCCCUUCAGUGGAUGAAUGGAUAAAAAAAUGUGGCAGAUGUACACAAUGGAAUAUUACUCAGCACUAAAAAAUAAUAAGAUCAUGGCAUUUGCAGGGAAAUGGAUGGCAUUAGAUCAGAUUAUGCUAAGUGAAUUUAGCCAAUCCCAAAAAAACAAAUGCCAAAUGUCUUUUCUGAUAUAAGGGGGGUGACUCAAAAUGGGGAAGAGAGGAAGAGCAUGGGAAGAAGACUACCCAAUAUAGGGAAGAGGGGUUGGAGGGAAAGGGAGGGAAAAGGGGAAUUGCAUGGAUGGUGGAAGGAGACCCUCAUUGUUAUACAAAAUACAUGUAUGAAGAUGUGAGAAAAAAAGAAUAGUGUUACCCUAGAUUAGGUAGAGAGAAGUGAUGGGAGGGGAGGAGAGGGGAUGGGGAGACAGGAAGGAUAGUAGAAUGAAACAGACAUUAUUAUUACUGUGUGUAUAUAUGUGAAUGCAUGGUCAAUGUGAAUCUACCACCUGUAUACUCAGAAAAAUGAGAUAUUGUAUCCCAUGUGAUUCAAAUGUAUGAUAUGUCAAGGUCAUUGUACUGUCAUGUGUAACUAAUUAAAACAAAUAAUGAAAAAG
This 3792-nucleotide long non-coding RNA is filed under the name Marmota monax (woodchuck). The record is from RNAcentral. Lineage: Eukaryota; Metazoa; Chordata; Mammalia; Rodentia; Sciuridae.